RNAcentral lists this ribosomal RNA (449 nucleotides) under uncultured bacterium. RNAcentral's name for it is "partial 16S ribosomal RNA". It matches the Rfam family "Bacterial small subunit ribosomal RNA", at positions 29 to 523 of the family's 1533-position model. The record is from RNAcentral.
AACGAACGCUGGCGGCAUGCCUAACACAUGCAAGUCGAACGAGAUCUUCGGGUCUAGUGGCGCACGGGUGCGUAACGCGUGGGAAUCUGCCCUUUGGUUCGGAAUAACAGUUGGAAACGACUGCUAAUACCGGAUGAUGGCGAAAGUCCAAAGAUUUAUCGCCAGAGGAUGAGCCCGCGUAGGAUUAGCUAGUUGGUGUGGUAACGGCGCACCAAGGCGACGAUCCUUAGCUGGUCUGAGAGGAUGAUCAGCCACACUGGGACUGAGACACGGCCCAGACUCCUACGGGAGGCAGCAGUGGGGAAUAUUGGACAAUGGGCGAAAGCCUGAUCCAGCAAUGCCGCGUGAGUGAUGAAGGCCUUAGGGUUGUAAAGCUCUUUUACCCGGGAUGAUAAUGACAGUACCGGGAGAAUAAGCUCCGGCUAACUCCGUGCCAGCAGCCGCGGUAA